CCUACGGGACGCACCAGUGGGGGAUAUUGCACAAUGGGCGCAAGCCUGAUGCAGCCAUGCCGCGUGUGUGAAGAAGGCCUUCGGGUUGUAAAGCACUUUCAGCGGGAGGAAGGCGAUAAGGUUAAUAACCUUGUCGAUCGACGUUACCCGCAGAAGAAGCACCGGCUAACUCCGUGCCAGCAGCCGCGGUAAUACGGAGGGUGCAAGCGUUAAUCGGAAUUACUGGGCGUAAAGCGCACGCAGGCGGUCUAUCAAGUCGGAUGUGAAAUCCCCGGGCUCAACCUGGGAACUGCAUUCGAAACUGGCAGGCUAGAGUCUUGUAGAGGGGGGUAGAAUUCCAGGCGUAGCGGUGAAAUGCGUAAAGAUCUGGAGGAAUACCGGUGGCGAAGGCGGCCCCCUGGACAAAGACUGACGCUCAGGUGCGAAAGCGUGGGGAGCAAACAGGAUUAGAUACCCGAGUAGUC
RNAcentral lists this ribosomal RNA (464 nucleotides) under uncultured bacterium. RNAcentral's name for it is "bacterial SSU rRNA". It matches the Rfam family "Bacterial small subunit ribosomal RNA", at positions 338 to 795 of the family's 1533-position model. The record is from RNAcentral.